AGAUUCCUACGGGAGGCAGCAGUGAGGAAUAUUGGUCAAUGGGCGCAAGCCUGAACCAGCCAUGCCGCGUGCAGGAUGACGGUCCUAUGGAUUGUAAACUGCUUUUGUACGGGAAGAAACAGUUCUACGUGUAGAACCUUGACGGUACCGUAAGAAUAAGGAUCGGCUAACUCCGUGCCAGCAGCCGCGGUAAUA
This 195-nucleotide ribosomal RNA is filed under the name uncultured bacterium. RNAcentral describes it as "partial 16S ribosomal RNA". It matches the Rfam family "Bacterial small subunit ribosomal RNA", at positions 333 to 525 of the family's 1533-position model. The record is from RNAcentral.